GGGUUGUGAGGUUAAGCGACUAAGCGUACACGGUGGAUGCCCUGGCAGUCAGAGGCGAUGAAGGACGUGCUAAUCUGCGAAAAGCGUCGGUAAGGUGAUAUGAACCGUUAUAACCGGCGAUGUCCGAAUGGGGAAACCCAGUGUGAUUCGUCACACUAUCGUUAACUGAAUACAUAGGUUAACGAGGCGAACCGGGGGAACUGAAACAUCUAAGUACCCCGAGGAAAAGAAAUCAACCGAGAUUCCCCCAGUAGCGGCGAGCGAACGGGGAGCAGCCCAGAGUCUGAAUCAGCUUGUGUGUUAGUGGAACGGUCUGGAAAGUCCGACGGUACAGGGUGAUAGUCCCGUACACCAAAAUGCACAGGUUGUGAACUCGAAGAGUAGGGCGGGACACGUGGUAUCCUGUCUGAAUAUGGGGGGACCAUCCUCCAAGGCUAAAUACUCCUGACUGACCGAUAGUGAACCAGUACCGUGAGGGAAAGGCGAAAAGAACCCCGGCGAGGGGAGUGAAAAAGAACCUGAAACCGUGUACGUACAAGCAGUGGGAGCACCUUCGGGUGUGACUGCGUACCUUUUGUAUAAUGGGUCAGCGACUUAUAUUCUGUAGCAAGGUUAACCGUAUAGGGGAGCCGCAGGGAAACCGAGUCUUAACUGGGCGUUAAGUUGCAGGGUAUAGACCCGAAACCCGGUGAUCUAGCCAUGGGCAGGUUGAAGGUUGGGUAACACUAACUGGAGGACCGAACCGACUAAUGUUGAAAAAUUAGCGGAUGACUUGUGGCUGGGGGUGAAAGGCCAAUCAAACCGGGAGAUAGCUGGUUCUCCCCGAAAGCUAUUUAGGUAGCGCCUCGUGAAUUCAUCUUCGGGGGUAGAGCACUGUUUCGGCUAGGGGGUCAUCCCGACUUACCAACCCGAUGCAAACUACGAAUACCGAAGAAUGUUAUCACGGGAGACACACGGCGGGUGCUAACGUCCGUCGUGAAGAGGGAAACAACCCAGACCGCCAGCUAAGGUCCCAAAGUCAUGGUUAAGUGGGAAACGAUGUGGGAAGGCACAGACAGCCAGGAUGUUGGCUUAGAAGCAGCCAUCAUUUAAAGAAAGCGUAAUAGCUCACUGGUCGAGUCGGCCUGCGCGGAAGAUGUAACGGGGCUAAACCAUGCACCGAAGCUGCGGCAGCGACACUAUGUGUUGUUGGGUAGGGGAGCGUUCUGUAAGCCUGCGAAGGUGACCUGUGAGGGUUGCUGGAGGUAUCAGAAGUGCGAAUGCUGACAUAAGUAACGAUAAAGCGGGUGAAAAGCCCGCUCGCCGGAAGACCAAGGGUUCCUGUCCAACGUUAAUCGGGGCAGGGUGAGUCGACCCCUAAGGCGAGGCCGAAAGGCGUAGUCGAUGGGAAACAGGUUAAUAUUCCUGUACUUGGUGUUACUGCGAAGGGGGGACGGAGAAGGCUAUGUUAGCCGGGCGACGGUUGUCCCGGUUUAAGCAUGUAGGCUGGUUAUCCAGGCAAAUCCGGAUAAUCAAGGCUGAGGUGUGAUGACGAGGCACUACGGUGCUGAAGUAACAAAUGCCCUGCUUCCAGGAAAAGCCUCUAAGCAUCAGGUAACAUCAAAUCGUACCCCAAACCGACACAGGUGGUCAGGUAGAGAAUACCAAGGCGCUUGAGAGAACUCGGGUGAAGGAACUAGGCAAAAUGGUGCCGUAACUUCGGGAGAAGGCACGCUGGUGUGUAGGUGAAGCCCCUGCGGGUGGAGCUGAGACCAGUCGAAGAUACCAGCUGGCUGCAACUGUUUAUUAAAAACACAGCACUGUGCAAACACGAAAGUGGACGUAUACGGUGUGACGCCUGCCCGGUGCCGGAAGGUUAAUUGAUGGGGUUAUCCGUAAGGAGAAGCUCUUGAUCGAAGCCCCGGUAAACGGCGGCCGUAACUAUAACGGUCCUAAGGUAGCGAAAUUCCUUGUCGGGUAAGUUCCGACCUGCACGAAUGGCGUAAUGAUGGCCAGGCUGUCUCCACCCGAGACUCAGUGAAAUUGAACUCGCUGUGAAGAUGCAGUGUACCCGCGGCAAGACGGAAAGACCCCGUGAACCUUUACUAUAGCUUGACACUGAACAUUGAGCCUUGAUGUGUAGGAUAGGUGGGAGGCUUUGAAGCGUGGACGCCAGUCUGCGUGGAGCCAACCUUGAAAUACCACCCUUUAAUGUUUGAUGUUCUAACGUUGGCCCCUGACCGGGGUUGCGGACAGUGUCUGGUGGGUAGUUUGACUGGGGCGGUCUCCUCCCAAAGCGUAACGGAGGAGCACGAAGGUUAGCUAAUCCUGGUCGGACAUCAGGAGGUUAGUGCAAUGGCAUAAGCUAGCUUGACUGCGAGCGUGACGGCGCGAGCAGGUGCGAAAGCAGGUCAUAGUGAUCCGGUGGUUCUGAAUGGAAGGGCCAUCGCUCAACGGAUAAAAGGUACUCCGGGGAUAACAGGCUGAUACCGCCCAAGAGUUCAUAUCGACGGCGGUGUUUGGCACCUCGAUGUCGGCUCAUCACAUCCUGGGGCUGAAGUAGGUCCCAAGGGUAUGGCUGUUCGCCAUUUAAAGUGGUACGCGAGCUGGGUUUAGAACGUCGUGAGACAGUUCGGUCCCUAUCUGCCGUGGGCGCUGGAGAAUUGAGGGGGGCUGCUCCUAGUACGAGAGGACCGGAGUGGACGCAUCACUGGUGUUCGGGUUGUCAUGCCAAUGGCACUGCCCGGUAGCUAAAUGCGGAAGAGAUAAGUGCUGAAAGCAUCUAAGCACGAAACUUGCCCCGAGAUGAGUUCUCCCUGAGACUUUAAGUCUCCUGAAGGAACGUUAAAGACGAUGACGUUGAUAGGCCGGGUGUGUAAGCGCAGCGAUGCGUUGAGCUAACCGGUACUAAUGAACCGUGAGGCUUAACCUUACAACGCCGAAG
RNAcentral lists this ribosomal RNA (2923 nucleotides) under Klebsiella pneumoniae. RNAcentral describes it as "23S ribosomal RNA". It matches the Rfam family "Bacterial large subunit ribosomal RNA". The record is from RNAcentral. Lineage: Bacteria; Pseudomonadati; Pseudomonadota; Gammaproteobacteria; Enterobacterales; Enterobacteriaceae.